This 406-nucleotide ribosomal RNA is filed under the name uncultured bacterium. RNAcentral describes it as "partial 16S ribosomal RNA". It matches the Rfam family "Bacterial small subunit ribosomal RNA", at positions 29 to 526 of the family's 1533-position model. The record is from RNAcentral.
AUUGAACGCUGGCGGCAGGCCUAACACAUGCAAGUCGAGCGAGCGGCGGACGGGUGAGUAAUGCCUAGGAAUCUGCCUGGUAGUGGGGGAUAACGUCCGGAAACGGGCGCUAAUACCGCAUACCAUCAGAUGUGCCCAGAUGGGAUUAGCAAGUAGGUGGGGUAACGGCUAACCUAGGCGACGAUCCCUAGCUGGUCUGAGAGGAUGACCAGCCACACUGGAACUGAGACACGGUCCAGACUCCUACGGGAGGCAGCAGUGGGGAAUAUUGCAAAAUGGGCGCAAGCCGGAUGCAGCCAUGCCGCGGGGAUGAAGAAGGCCUUCGGGUUGUAAAGUACUUUCAGCGUGGAGGCGUUACCCGCAGAAGAAGCACCGGCUAACUCCGUGCCAGCAGCCGCGGUAAUUC